CCUACGGGAGGCAGCAGUGAGGAAUAUUGGUCAAUGGACGAGAGUCUGAACCAGCCAAGUAGCGUGAAGGAUGACUGCCCUAUGGGUUGUAAACUUCUUUUAUAUGGGAAUAAAACGUUCCACGUGUGGGAUUUUGUAUGUCCCAUAUGAAUAAGGAUCGGCUAACUCCGUGCCAGCAGCCGCGGUAAUACGGAGGAUCCGAGCGUUAUCCGGAUUUAUUGGGUUUAAAGGGAGCGUAGGUGGAUUGUUAAGUCAGUUGUGAAAGUUUGCGGCUCAACCGUAAAAUUGCAGUUGAAACUGGCAGUCUUGAGUACAGUAGAGGUGGGCGGAAUUCGUGGUGUAGCGGUGAAAUGCUUAGAUAGCACGAAGAACUCCGAUUGCGAAGGCAGUUCACUGGACUGCAACUGACACUGAGGCUCGAAAGUGUGGGUAUCAAACAGGAUUAGAUACCCGGGUAGUC
This 460-nucleotide ribosomal RNA is filed under the name uncultured bacterium. RNAcentral's name for it is "partial 16S ribosomal RNA". It matches the Rfam family "Bacterial small subunit ribosomal RNA", at positions 338 to 795 of the family's 1533-position model. The record is from RNAcentral.